CCCAGACUCCUACGGGAGGCAGCAGUGAGGAAUAUUGGUCAAUGGGCGAGAGCCUGAACCAGCCAAGUCGCGUGAAGGAUGACGGCCCUACGGGUUGUAAACUUCUUUUGUCAGGGAGCAAUUGAGUCCACGUGUGGGCUUAGCGAGAGUACCUGAAGAAAAAGCAUCGGCUAACUCCGUGCCAGCAGCCGCGGUAAUACGGAGGAUGCGAGCGUUAUCCGGAUUUAUUGGGUUUAAAGGGUGCGUAGGCGGGAUAUCAAGUCAGGGGUAAAAAUGGGGGGCGCAACCCCGUCCGGCCGUGGAAACUGGGGGCCUUGAGUGGGCGAGAAGAGGGCGGAAUGCGUGG
RNAcentral lists this ribosomal RNA (346 nucleotides) under uncultured bacterium. RNAcentral's name for it is "bacterial SSU rRNA". It matches the Rfam family "Bacterial small subunit ribosomal RNA", at positions 330 to 673 of the family's 1533-position model. The record is from RNAcentral.